RNAcentral lists this ribosomal RNA (385 nucleotides) under uncultured bacterium. RNAcentral describes it as "bacterial SSU rRNA". It matches the Rfam family "Bacterial small subunit ribosomal RNA", at positions 29 to 416 of the family's 1533-position model. The record is from RNAcentral.
AUUGAACGCUGGCGGCAUGCCUUACACAUGCAAGUCGAACGGCAGCACGGGGGCAACCCUGGUGGCGAGUGGCGAACGGGUGAGUAACACAUCGGAACGUGCCCAGUAGUGGGGGAUAGCUCGGCGAAAGCCGGAUUAAUACCGCAUACGACCUACGGGUGAAAGCGGGGGAUCGCAAGACCUCGCGCUAUUGGAGCGGCCGAUGUCAGAUUAGGUUGUUGGUGGGGUAAAGGCCACCAAGCCGACGAUCUGUAGCUGGUCUGAGAGGACGGCCAGCCACACUGGGACUGAGACACGGCCCAGACUCCUACGGGAGGCAGCAGUGGGGAAUUUUGGACAAUGGGCGCAAGCCUGAUCCAGCCAUGCCGCGUGCGGGAAGAAGGCC